AGAGUUUGAUCCUGGCUCAGGGACGAACGCUGGCGGCGUGCCUAAUACAUGCAAGUCGAACGAGAGCGACCGGUGCUUGCACUGGUCAAUCUAGUGGCGAACGGGUGAGUAACACGUGGGUAACCUGCCCAUCAGAGGGGGAUAACAUUCGGAAACGGAUGCUAAAACCGCAUAGGUCUUCGAACCGCAUGGUUUGAAGAGGAAAAGAGGCGCAAGCUUCUGCUGAUGGAUGGACCCGCGGUGCAUUAGCUAGUUGGUGAGGUAACGGCUCACCAAGGCCGUGAUGCAUAGCCGACCUGAGAGGGUGAUCGGCCACAUUGGGACUGAGACACGGCCCAAACUCCUACGGGAGGCAGCAGUAGGGAAUCUUCCGCAAUGGACGCAAGUCUGACGGAGCAACGCCGCGUGAGUGAAGAAGGUUUUCGGAUCGUAAAACUCUGUUGUUAGAGAAGAACAAGUGCUAGAGUAACUGUUAGCGCCUUGACGGUAUCUAACCAGAAAGCCACGGCUAACUACGUGCCAGCAGCCGCGGUAAUACGUAGGUGGCAAGCGUUGUCCGGAUUUAUUGGGCGUAAAGCGAGCGCAGGCGGUUCCUUAAGUCUGAUGUGAAAGCCCCCGGCUCAACCGGGGAGGGUCAUUGGAAACUGGGGAACUUGAGUGCAGAAGAGGAGAGUGGAAUUCCAUGUGUAGCGGUGAAAUGCGUAGAUAUAUGGAGGAACACCAGUGGCGAAGGCGACUCUCUGGUCUGUAACUGACGCUGAGGCUCGAAAGCGUGGGUAGCAAACAGGAUUAGAUACCCUGGUAGUCCACGCCGUAAACG
Molecule: ribosomal RNA, 820 nt
Filed under: uncultured bacterium
Lineage: Bacteria
Description: bacterial SSU rRNA
Rfam family: Bacterial small subunit ribosomal RNA
Source: RNAcentral